CUUGGAGGAACGUAUAGCGAAAGCUAGUUGCAUUUAAUUUAGCGAAAGCUAAACUGGUGCAGAAUUGAUUCUAUCAAAUAAAGUUCUAGACAGGUUAUGAUGAUGACAUUUCCUAUCUAUGUGUCUUGACCAAAUUACGUGCCAGCAGUCGCGGUAACACGUAGAAGACUAGUGUUAUUCAUCUUUAAUAGGUUUAAAGGGUACCUAGACGGUAAAUCCAGUCCAAAAAGGAUACUAAUUUGCUAGAGUUUAAUGUGAGGGGGCACUAAAGUACUGAUAAGUGUAGAGAUGAAAUUCUGUGAUACAAUAUAAGGACAGGUAAAGGCGAAAGCAUCUCAUUAUGUAAUAACUGACGUUGAGGGACGAAGGCUAGGAGAAGCAAAAAGGAUUAGAUACCCAAGUAGUCUUAGCAGAAAAUUAUGAAUGUCAUAGGAUGGAAAUAGUGGAUAACCAUUUUUUUUUCUAUAAAUGAAAGUGUAAGCAUUCCACCUCGAGAGUAAUUUGGCAACAUUGGAACUGAAAUCAUUAGACCGUUUCUGAAACAAGUAGUGAAGUAUGUUGUUUAAUUUGAUGGUCCGCAAAAAACCUUACCACAAUUUGAAUAGAAAUUUUUAUUUUUUACAAGCGCUGCACGGUUGUCUCCAGUUAAUGUCGUGAGAUCUUGGUUAGUUCCAUUAAAUUAACGUAAACCCUUACUUUAUUUAUAUAUAGAGUAGUUCACCGCUAGAUUGGAUGUGAUAACAGGGA
This 747-nucleotide ribosomal RNA is filed under the name Physcia dubia. Its description in RNAcentral is "SSU rRNA". It matches the Rfam family "Bacterial small subunit ribosomal RNA", at positions 319 to 1171 of the family's 1533-position model. Lineage: Eukaryota; Fungi; Ascomycota; Lecanoromycetes; Caliciales; Physciaceae. The record is from RNAcentral. RNAcentral also lists the same sequence under 1 other name.